GGUAUCAUAGCUCAGGGGGAGAGUGCAUGCUUAGCAUGCAUGAGGUCCUGGGUUCAAUCCCCAGUACCU
RNAcentral lists this transfer RNA (69 nucleotides) under Camelus bactrianus (Bactrian camel). It matches the Rfam family "tRNA". Rfam says of the family: Transfer RNA (tRNA) molecules are approximately 80 nucleotides in length. Their secondary structure includes four short double-helical elements and three loops (D, anti-codon, and T loops). Lineage: Eukaryota; Metazoa; Chordata; Mammalia; Artiodactyla; Camelidae. RNAcentral also lists the same sequence under 2 other names. The record is from Rfam by way of RNAcentral.